This is an RNA transcript of Gallus gallus (chicken), 8894 nucleotides long. It is a transcript of the gene named protein FAM13A-like, with no coding region annotated. The transcript is spliced from 12 exons. The record is from RefSeq and is a predicted model, not a curated record. NCBI's taxonomy places the organism in Eukaryota, Metazoa, Chordata, Aves, Galliformes, Phasianidae.
UGUCAGUCCCUUGGCUUGUGAAGAACAAAGGCUUUACAAUGGCCUCCUGCUGUAUUUGCUUCAGCAUUAUGAGUUGCUUUUUGUUGAUGUGAACCCUUGUUUCUCACCAAGACAAGCAGAUGGCCUCCAGGUAAGAAAGUUACGUGAACUGAUUCAGCAAGGAAUCAAAAGUGCUUUACUGAAUUGUAAGCUACAAAUGGAAAUAACUUACUUUAUACUUAGUUUUAGUACUGACCACAGCUAGUUGCUGGUACUGUAAGUAUUCAUCAUAUGCGUAAGCUAGAGGGAAAACUGAAAUUAAAAUUCUGAUUUUUUGAAAAAAAUGCAAAUGCAAUAGUACAAGAAAAGAGUCAAGAAUAAAAUUCCAACUUGUUCCAUUUUGAAUAUCGUAAUGUAGAACUUUGUUAGAUCAAAGCCACUGAUUUUUUCCUCUACUGAAACUCUUUAUACCGUGUUGCUGUGCGUUGGUGAUUUAGGGGAGCAAAUACAGAAGGGUGAAAUCCAUUUCAUCUUUCCAUACGUUGCUGAAUCUGCCUCAGAUUCUCUCUGGGUGACAUGUUUUUCUUUGAAAGAAUGCUAGUACUUUGUUAGCCUCGUUUGUCAAAAAGCUCCUGGUUGAAGAACCUUGAUAGACUACUGUUGCUUCAGGGAGAGGGUCAAUAUAAGUUUUGUUUUCAGUUUGUGAUGUCAUGUAUCAUUUCUGCUUAAUUUGAAAUGAUUUUUUUUAGGAAAUGACUUGAGGGACAUGUAGUAGUAAGGCCUGCAGUCUCAUACUACAUCGUGAAGUUACCACGCAUCCUGGCAGGUCACGCCUAGAUGAUUGGAAGGGUAACAGAUCACGUCAAGUAUUAUUGAAUAGAUUUAAAUUGUAUGUAAUUGAAGCUCACGUUUCUAAUGUUUGUGACUCCUUUCUUUUUUGCUUCCUUCUUAAUUGUCUGCGUUAAGGAAAAGUCAGCAGACUUUUAUUGUGCUAAGUCAGUUCAUAUGCGGAGCAUGUUCUAUAUCUGCAAGGAGAAUAUUGGGACUGUCAUUCUUCUUGGAACACCUCUCUCAAAAAAAAAAAAAAAAAAUCCUGAAAAAUUCUGUAUAAUCGUAGGUACAGAGAACAGAAGGCACCAAUGCAAGGAUGUUUAUAAAAUGAUUCCAAAUCCAAAACCCUAGUCAACUCAUGUAGAUGGCACUGAAGCACACACUUCUACCUUUCAUCAUACUCUCCUAUGUCACUGCUAUCUUUGAGAAUCCCUGAAACAUGUACUCAAAUGAGUGUGCAAGACCAUCCAACUGUAUCUGCUUCUGCUCACAGUAACUAUGUAUUCUUACAGUAGCAAGAGGAAAUUGGAAAGGUAUUGAAAAAGUCAAGAGACUUGGCAUUCUAUUUCAGUGACUUUGUUUUAGAAGGAACUUCACUCCCUAUAAUUCUGCAAAAUGUCACAGUCUGUCUGGGCUUGUGGUGAUGUGGUAAAGAAUCUUGCUGAAAAAAAGUCCUUUCAAGUUCUUUAAUAAAAGCCCAGACGAUGCAUAGCCAUGAGGCACUCUCCUGCUCUGAGGUAAGCUUAUGGAAGAAAUCCCAUUCGUGGUGAGAAGCGAAUUCAGAAUUCUGUUGUUGAUCUUGUUUUUGUAAUUUCUGGCAGGAAAUCUUGUGUAUUGGAUAGGUACCCUUCAUCUCUCAUAAUAUAACAAUUGCUGAAAGUCCACUGCAUGAGAAACAUGAAAGUUAGGUUUACAAAGUAAACAUAUUCAACGUGCAUGAACUAGUUCCAGCAAAGCAAGCAAAAAGUAAAACAGCAAGCGUGGCUCAGAUCCCUUAUUGCUUCCUGGAAAUGAAGCUUGCUUUUAUUGGCUGUUUCUCUUGAAGUAACUUGAAACAAUUACACUGAUGUCUGCAUUUUCAGCUAUUUAAUUUGAGGGAUCUUUUUAUUGUUGUUGGGGUGUGCUUUUUGUAGAAGAUUGCACCAUAGAAGCUAAUUAAAUUCUGUAUCAAACCUUGCUAGUAGUGAUUUGUCAUGCUCUUUGUCAUCAUCAUUUCCAAAUCUCAUGUUCUGGAUUAAGAAAUGACUGGAUUUUUUUAUUUAUUUAUUUCGCAUCAAGUUCUAGAGUGCUUUUUCAUAUCUCAUCUCUCUACUGAAGCAUGAUAGAUCAAUCCUGUCUGAAUUAAGCAAACAGAAGCAUGACUUUUUGGAUGUGUGCAUACCACUACAUCCCAUCCUUCAGUUAAUUAGAAGAAAAGCUAGCACUCUGAGGAAAUAACUCUCAUUUCUUGUUUUCUCUUCUUCCUAUGUCCUUUUAUGUAUGCUUCUCUUCUUAUCAGCAAGGCUGCAGAGACUAUGUAGUUACUCCACUCUGCCAUAGUGGAGCCCUACCGAAUAGAGCCCUACCGCUGCAGAGCCAGCGGCUGGGAGAGGGGAGCUAAACAUUCUUCCAGUCCUUCAGAAAGACCACAGACACCUCAGAGUGGAUUUCUGAAACUGUACAAUGUGGUUUGAGUUGGUUGGCCUACUGCAGCUAAAUAUUUUAUGGAGACUUUAUCUAUUUGAAUUAUGGUUUUAUUGAGAAGGCUCUUUGUGGUUUAGGCAGUUUUGUUAGUAUGAGGUUUUUAGCGUUCUUCAAAGAGGGGAGUUAACCAAUUUCUUAAAAAAAAAAAAAAAAAAAAAAAAAAGAAAAGAAAAGAAAGAAAAAGCUUGGUGCUUCACUUUUAUUUGAAGUUGCCAUAAAAAAGGAUAUGCAGCCUUCCAAACAGACUGUCCUCAAUUCCAAGGGCAACUCAUAAUUUAAAUGAUGUUUUCCUUUGCUAAUCCCCUGAUAAUGCUUUUGAAAUUAGUUGAAACCUUUCAAAAACGAAGCAAAUAUGAUCUUAUGAUUUAGUAAACUCAAGCUUCCAGCUUAGACUAAAGCAUCUUGCCGGUGUAAUUUUUCAUGGAUAGAGUCUCAUAGUUCCGAUUCUUAUCUGUGGGUUUAGCAUUUUUUCCUAACUUUAAAUUGAUACAGAUCCUGAUUAAUUUCUUUCACAAAAGUUCUUUGCUUCACAAAGAUAACUUUUAGUUGAGUUUAGAUGUGGACGUAGCGAGUCCUGUGAGAAGCACUUGAACUGCCAAGAGAUUUGUCAGUGCUUCUGUAGGGUUUGCUGUUAUGUUAUAGAAAGGUUUCUUUAUAUUACUUCCCAUUCCUCAGAAAAAGUACUUUUCCUGACCUUUGUAAAUUCUGUAAAAGCAUGGGCUCAUUAAACAUUAAGUUCUAAGUUUGUGUUUGGGAGCUGUCCAAACCAGAAGACUGGAUUAAAAAUGCCGCACACUGGGAAUCAGAGCGGGACUUGGAUCUCCACAGAAAUUAUGGGUAAUGUAUAGUGAAAAGUUAUUUUUUUCUUCUUCUGGACAAACAGAGAAGAAUAUUUUGCUGACUGCAGGCAUAAGGAUUUGAUAAAGAGCACUGUAUUAGGCAGUUGUGACUUAAAAAGACUUACAAACUGGAGGUGGCUAGAAUAUUUGUUGCUCACUCUAGGUCUUCAGUGGCAAGGUCUUUCCAUUGAUAGGGGAAGAGCAGAGGGAAUAUGGCACGGUGGUGUAAGAUGUUACUUCUGAGCUGUGCCUAAGGUCUUCAGCAGACCUGCCUUUGUGUUAGAGGUCUGUAACUCUGAAAUGACAAAUGUGCCUGGUCUCUGUUUUUAGCAAACGACAAGGUGUGGAGUGAAUAAGACACAUUUAAUGUUUGCUCCAGCAUCGUUGGGACUUUCUCACGCCUUACUGUUUGAGUGCUGUCACACUUAAAUCCUUUCUGUGACUUAGUGGAUUUUGCCACUACCUCCCUGCUCCCUGUGACAUCUAGACAAUGUUAUUUUUAUUUUUCUUUGGCUGGUGAAAGAUGUGCUAGGAGAGAAUAGGGGCAGGAGGAGGUGUGUUCUGUAGGCUUUGAAGCACGCUCUCAGCUGUGCUUUACUUCAGGAAGUGACUUGAACACAAAGAUGGAUGCUGGUUACAUUGAAGUCCUAUCACAGAAUCACAGAAUCACAGAAUGGCCUGGGUUGGAAGGGACAUGGAUCUGCAAGGAUCAUGAAUCUGCAGCCCCCGAUGAUUCUCUAAUGCGAUGAAUAAUUCAGAAAUAGUGCUUAAGUGAUUGCACAAGCUGAUGACACUGAUCACCAUCAGCCAUUCAAUAAUGGCAUAAAGAAUGUGAGUGGGGAAGAUCUUUCUAAAACCGAUUGCUGACAGAUGCUGUUACUGAAUUGAAAAAACACUGUGAGGUGAUGCACUGUAUAGAAACAAAACAAGCAGUAGUGGAGACUCACCUGUGUUACCUCUCAGUCUGUGAAUGCCUGUUUUCAGUUUCGCUGUGAACAGAGCACCUCGAAAGCUCCUACCACAACCAGACUUGCAGACCAUAUGUUGAUUACAGAUUGAGGAGGCUUAUUCGCAAUUCACAAAGAAGAGAAUUAUCUGAUGUGUUUAGAGUGGCAGGGGGUUGUGUUGCUUAUUAAGGCCGGCUACAACACAGGGAAGAGAGUCGUAAUUAAUCUAGUGUACAUGUUUGGAUAACACAAAGUUGUACUUCCAGAGGAUCUUCCUCUGAUGUUUUUUAAAAUGUAUCACACCUAAACGUAAGACUCGAGGCUCUGAGAUCCAUCUCAAGUUUGCAGCAACGUUUUCUUCCACUUGGUGUCAGCAUUGUUCUCUCUGGCUCCUGAGCUGUAUUUGCUUUGAACAUAACCCUUUAACACGUUCUGAACGCCUAUCUUAAAAGCGCGCAUCGUGUGAAAAGUUGAGCAACUCGUGAAAGCUGCUGCUGAUGGAACACCGAGCUGGUAUGAUCAAGAUAAUCAAUAUGCUUCAAGAUAUGCUUGGAAUGAGAAACACUUCUAAGAUUCAAGACAAAGUUUCAAGUUCAAUGCUGUUUUUGAAGAGGACCAAUGCUUAAGCUUUUUGUUUACUACAGGCCUCUCUCACUUCAACUCUGAAAUAAAUGAAUACUGACAGCAAGCUUGAAAAGGAGCUGGACGCGAUCAGUGACAGACCAGUGACAGGAGGCGUUUUCUGAGAAUAAGGAUUCUGCUGGGCAGCGAGACGAGCCGUCACCGAACCGCUUCUUCUACCGGAGAACGUCGCAACGCAUCGCGUACCCUCGGCAGGAUCUCUUGCCUCACUCCGUGCAUUCGGAUGUCCCUUCUUUUCUCGUCUGAUGCCAUCCAUGGCUGUGAAAAAUAUAUCUGUAACAGCGUGCAAUAAAACCAUUCACAGUUCUACCAUCACUGGAAACAAAAAUGAGCAUAGUCCAACUGUCAGGAUUUUAAUUGAAGAACAAAACCACUACAUAAAGUGCAUUUCAUCACUGAAGUCUUUACGGAGUACCCUUGUCCUUAACUGGAGAUCACUGAAAUCUCACCGAAAGCAUUCCCACCGAUUGAUGUGACACUUGAACGUAACCCUAAGCAACACCGUACAGAACUGUUUGUAAAGCUCCGCUUCAAGUCUCACUGGCUGGCAAUUUUCUCAUGUGCAUCAUUAACCCAUUUGGGCAUUUGUCGCAUCACCACUCCCGUAUUUCCAUUGCCGCCUUCAGUCACGUUUUCUCCGUCAGGCACAAAGUUUUUACAGGCUGCAGUGAGAUCUCUCGCGGUGAGGAUCAGCCCAACCCGGCUGAGCGAAGGCUGCAGCGGAGCCUCUCGUCAGUCCGAACCGGAGCGUGAUCUCGUUCCCAUCGUGGAGAUGCAGCGGAAUGGCUUGCGUGACUCGAAUGCUGUUGUGGAUGUUCUGUUCUCUUCAGGAGAGACAGACAGGUGAGAGGUGGCAGAGUCUCACUUCCACUGAGAGAACUGGAAUGCAUUGAGCUGUGCCUAGGGAUGCAUGAAGAACCAGGGGAGUGCUGGCGUGCAAGGCUCAGGAGACAGUAAAUGUAGGUAAUGUCACUGGGGGUGUUGGUUACAGAUGAGGAAGCUGAUAAGACUUCCUGCACACAGCUAAAAGUAACCUCAAGGUUGCAGGCAUUAGUUUUCACAGUAGACUCGAAGCACCCUGCCAGUUGUUGAUAAGGCAAUGCUGUCAGGUGUAUCUCAUUCCAGGAGGCUCCUGCAGGUAUCAAAGUUUCUGACACAGGUGAAGGAGGAGCCAAUGAGGAGAGAAAUGCUGGCGGAGCUCUUACUCUGUAUUGAGGAAGGACUGACUGGGGAUGCGAAGACGGAGGGGACCUGAAGUGCAGCAGCUGUGAGAUGGUGGAGUUUGGGAUCUCAGUCAGAAGAUGCAAACCAAUAAGUAUGUUUGAAACACUGGACUUUGAGGGAGCAACUUUGUCCUCUUAAAGGAUCUGCCUGGAGGUAUCUGUUGGGUUGCAGCAUCAGAAGGGGUCCUGCUAGCGGUUCUUGACUCAUGCAUUACUGCCUCUGUGCUCAGUAGGGUGCAUGCCUGAGAGUAAGAAAUGGAGCAGGAAUGGCAGGAGACCUGCAGGAGCAAAUGAGGAGGUCACAGAUAAACUUGAAGAAGAAAAGGAAGGCUAAGGCCCCCUUAGUAUCACCUUUGUGGAGGAAGGUGAAGGCUAACAGGCAAGGUGCCCGAGGACUCAUGGAUAGGCAGCAUCACUGCAGCCUUCAGAAAGGGUGAGAAGGAGGGCCUGUGCAACUGUAGGCUGUUCAGGAUCACCUCCCUCCCUGGCACUGAAAUGGGACAGCUUGUUCUAGAUGUCAUCUCUAAGGAGCGGUCACGGUGGAUUCAGCAAGAGGAAGUGAUGAUGGACUGACCUGGUAGCUUUCUGUGUUGUUGUGACUGUCUGGUUGGAUGAGAGAAGGGCAGUGGAUGUUGCGGGGUGGAAUAUCACUUCUGUCAGUAAGUGUCUAAGUGUGGAGUUGAUGGGUGUGGGCUUGUGCAGGCACAGCUGGAAGGUGUGUGGUGGUAGAAUGGGGGUAAUAUUCACAGGCUGGAAGACUGGUGGUUCUAUAGAAACAGAAGGAAGAUGGGUUUCACUGUGAGGGUGAUGGAAUAGGCUGUGGGGUCCCCUUCCCUGGGGAUUUAAGUUGCACCUGGCUGUUUUUGUGGGUGAUAUGCUAUGUAGGGAGGCUGCAUGAUCUGUUCACAGGGUGAGCGCCACAGUGGAGCAUUGAGGAUCAGCCUGAGGAAGGAUGUGAGCUGUCUGACCUGCCUACCUGGUGGCCCUUCAAGAAUGUGUUUGAGUUCUUCCUGCAGGUUCAGGGUGUGUGUCCUAUUGAUGUGACUGCAGGGGCUCUGUGGAGUGAGGUGAGCUGUGCUGUCUCAGGGCUGGGACUGGGUGUUGGUGUGUUUUGGUUUUAUUCCUGAAGGUGUGUGGCAGGCCCACUGGUGGAGGGAGGAGUGAGCAGUGGUGCUGGAGUUGUUUCAGUCUUCCAGGGCUGUUGUCUUCCCUUGGAUUGCGGUGCAGCUGGUGUGCCAGGAGGAAGGUCCCCAUCCUGGGUGCUGCAGAACUGUCAGGAGUAGCUCCUGUGUGGUGACUGCUCUGUGCUGGUGCUUCUGGUCCUGAAGGUGGGAGGAGUGAGGAGGAGCUGGGUUCUGUGUUCCUGCUGAAGGAGAAAAUUCAUUUCAUUUCAAACCUCAGUGUUUGCCCCCAAAAUACUGGUGACUAACCUUACUUCUGUGGAGCGGAAAGUGGGUGAAGAUGCAUCCCUUUUGUAGAAGAAUGAGUGGCUUGUGAUGGCUUUCCGGGAAGACUGUAUCUGCUGCAGGUAACCUGAGCUACUGCUUCACUGCACAACCCUUUGGAUUGAAUUGUGAAUCAGAAAGCAUACUGGAUCAGAAGGGACUUGCAACUCUGGGAGACUGCCCGGACUUCAACUGCUAUGGCUGGGAGCAGCGUCCAAAUGCUUUGUGAACUGUCAGCCAUGGGGUGUGACUGCUGUCUCAGAGAAGCCUGUUUUGCUAUCUCACCCCUCUUUCUGACAAGUUUUUCUUCAUCUGCAACCUCUACCUUCUCUGACCUCUACAGCCUCCUUUCAGCUUAAAAAGAGAGGGAAUUUGAGCCUUCCUUGGAUGCUCCCUGAGAGCUCUUAUUUUAUAUUAGAGGUUGCAGAGCUGCACACUAUGCUCACGGUGAGGCUUUACCUCCCUGGAGCAGUGUGGGAUGAUCCCUUCCUUUGUUCAGCCGGUUGUGCUGGGCCUGAGGUGCCCCAGGGUGUGGUCAGCCUUCUAAAUGACCAGGCAUGCUGCUGACUUGAAUUUAACUUGCUGUCAACUGUGGCACCCAGAUUCCUUUCCCUGGGGCAGCUCUCUGACCUCAUUCCCCCUGUUCUGUAUGGGUAGCUGGGGUUGGCCUGUCUCACAUACAGAAUCAGGUGCUGGCUACUGACAAAAUUCACACAGUUGGUGACUGUAGGGCCUGCUACUGUCUAGAGUUUGCUCUGGAGAGCCUGUUUACCCCUGAGGAGUCCCCAGCUCCUCCUAAUUUAGUGUCAUCAGCAAAAAUACUUAAUAUGCAUUUGACUCCUGUGUCCUGAUCAUUUAUAGAAAUACCAAAGGGAACUGCCCCUGCCAAGAAGCCCCUGGAAUUUGACUGGAACCCGGUUGCCAGCCUCACAUAAUCUCAUUUAAUUCUAACAGAAUUAGAUUUAGAUUUAAUUAGAUUUAGAUCUAAAUUUAACAAAUACUUGGAGCUGCUUUUGUGUAGGGGACUGAGUCACUGCUUGCUCUUUGUUUGUCUUAAGAGGUAUACUUAGGAAGGGCUGUUUUCUGACACAGCAUUUAGUUUCUGGAUCCCCUUACCUGACAAGAAUUUUCCUUACCUACUCAAAGAGAUAAUACACACUUGGAAUUACACCACAGGCAAAGAUGUCUUGUUUUUGAACAGAGGGAGUUAAUAAAUGCAUCCCUCUAAUAGAGGAAUGGAAUAAGAUCUGUCUUAUAGCAUUAAUAAAUUCAUAGCUACGGAAUAAAGUUGGAUAUUUUCAACCA